This 485-nucleotide ribosomal RNA is filed under the name uncultured bacterium. Its description in RNAcentral is "partial 16S ribosomal RNA". It matches the Rfam family "Bacterial small subunit ribosomal RNA", at positions 28 to 523 of the family's 1533-position model. The record is from RNAcentral.
GGUGAACGCUGGCGGCGUGCUUAACACAUGCAAGUCGAACGAGAACGGGAUAUAGCUUGCUAUAUUUGUCAGCUAAGUGGCGCACGGGUGAGUAAUGUAUAGAUAACCUGCCCUCUAGAAAGGAAUAACAGUUGGAAACGACUGCUAAUGCCCUAUAUGCCUUUAAUACAUAAGUAUGCAAGGGAAACGCUUUAGUGCUAGAGGAUGGGUCUGUACGGUAUCAGCUUGUUGGUGAGGUAAUGGCUCACCAAGGCUAUGACGCCUAACUGGUUUGAGAGGACGAUCAGUCGCACUGGGACUGAGACACGGUCCAGACUCCUACGGGAGGCAGCAGUGGGGAAUAUUGCACAAUGGACGAAAGUCUGAUGCAGCAACGCCGCGUGGAGGAUGACACAUUUCGGUGCGUAAACUCCUUUUAUAUAGGAAGAUAAUGACGGUACUAUAUGAAUAAGCACCGGCUAACUCCGUGCCAGCAGCCGCUGUAA